RNAcentral lists this ribosomal RNA (426 nucleotides) under uncultured bacterium. RNAcentral describes it as "bacterial SSU rRNA". It matches the Rfam family "Bacterial small subunit ribosomal RNA", at positions 324 to 766 of the family's 1533-position model. The record is from RNAcentral.
ACACGGCCCAAACUCCUACGGGAGGCAGCAGUGGGGAAUAUUGCACAAUGGGGGAAACCCUGAUGCAGCGACGCCGCGUGAGCGAAGAAGUAUUUCGGUAUGUAAAGCUCUAUCAGCAGGGAAGAAGAAUGACGGUACCUGACUAAGAAGCACCGGCUAAAUACGUGCCAGCAGCCGCGGUAAUACGUAUGGUGCAAGCGUUAUCCGGAUUUACUGGGUGUAAAGGGAGCGCAGGCGGUGCGGCAAGUCUGAUGUGAAAGCCCGGGGCUCAACCCCGGUACUGCAUUGGAAACUGUCGUACUAGAGUGUCGGAGGGGUAAGUGGAAUUCCUAGUGUAGCGGUGAAAUGCGUAGAUAUUAGGAGGAACACCAGUGGCGAAGGCGGCUUACUGGACGAUAACUGACGCUGAGGCUCGAAAGCGUGGGG